Molecule: ribosomal RNA, 427 nt
Filed under: uncultured Pseudomonadota bacterium
Lineage: Bacteria; Pseudomonadati; Pseudomonadota
Description: bacterial SSU rRNA
Rfam family: Bacterial small subunit ribosomal RNA
Source: RNAcentral
UGGGGAAUUUUGGACAAUGGACGCAAGUCUGAUCCAGCCAUGCCGCGUGUGGGAAGAAGGCCUUCGGGUUGUAAACCACUUUUGUCAGGGAAGAAACGGUCUGGGUUAAUACCUUGGGCUAAUGACGGUACCUGAAGAAUAAGCACCGGCUAACUACGUGCCAGCAGCCGCGGUAAUACGUAGGGUGCAAGCGUUAAUCGGAAUUACUGGGCGUAAAGCGUGCGCAGGCGGUUAUGCAAGACAGAUGUGAAAUCCCCGGGCUCAACCUGGGAACUGCAUUUGUGACUGCAUGGCUAGAGUACGGUAGAGGGGGAUGGAAUUCCGCGUGUAGCAGUGAAAUGCGUAGAUAUGCGGAGGAACACCGAUGGCGAAGGCAAUCCCCUGGACCUGUACUGACGCUCAUGCACGAAAGCGUGGGGAGCAAACA